Molecule: long non-coding RNA, 343 nt
Filed under: Homo sapiens (human)
Lineage: Eukaryota; Metazoa; Chordata; Mammalia; Primates; Hominidae
Description: long non-coding RNA NONHSAT024872
Source: RNAcentral
CAUCUGUUAUCCUCUGCGAUACACAGUCAUCAUGAACCCAAGGAUCUGUGUGGCCCUGGCUGUGGGCACAUGGCUGUUAGGGUGCAUUCAUUCCAGUAUCUUGACCUCCCUCACCUUCACCUUGCCAUACUGUGGUCCCAAUGAAGUGGAUCACUUCUUCUGUGACAUUCCAGCACUGUUGCCCUUGGCCUGUGCUGACACAUCCUUAGCCCAGAGGGUGAGCUUCACCAACGUUGGCCUCAUAUCUCUUGUCUGCUUUCUGCUAAUUCUUUUAUCCUACACUAGAAUCACAAUAUCUAUCUUAAGCAUUCGUACAACUGAGGGCCGUCGCCGUGCCUUCUCC